Molecule: long non-coding RNA, 1091 nt
Filed under: Trifolium pratense (red clover)
Lineage: Eukaryota; Viridiplantae; Streptophyta; Magnoliopsida; Fabales; Fabaceae
Description: long non-coding RNA (TPRA_LNC014186)
Source: RNAcentral
GUGUAGCGCCCUCCCUAAAAAUUAAGGCUAAUUCUAAGGAUGAACUGCUAAUCUACUCAACUAGCUAAUACAAAAACUGCGCGAAGCGAUAAACGCUCGCUAAAACAGUAAAGUCGCCACCGAAUUUUAUUUAUCCCACGCGGCCACGCGGAAAAGGAAAAUAUCGAUAAAACCUUUAAGUGGAAAGGGUGGUCAUCGCAACCAGAAUUCCGGGUUCGGGAGUCGGUUAUGCGAAGGGAAGGUAUUAGCACCCCUCGCAUCCGUUGUACUCAACGGGAACCUUCUCUUUAGAUCUAGGAUUAAAAUUAGUUCUCGCGCUUGUGUAAUGAUGCUUUAUUAUUUGUUCUAUACUAUUUAAUCAAAGAAAAGACAUUAAAAGACACUAAAGACUCUUAACAUUUUUUGACACAAAAAGGUUUUCUUUAUUAGUGUGCUUGACGAGAUACACCAUCCCGCUCCUACGUAUUCCCAGCUGCAAUGGGAAAUUCAAAGCUACACGCAGUUCUCGGGUAGAAAAUAAGUGUUUGUUAGUUGAUUUUAAUUCACAAAAGGNNNNNNNNNNNNNNNNNNNNNNNNNNNNNNNNNNNNNNNNNNUUAAACACAUGAAACACUCUAAUACAUUUUUUAAACACAUAAGACUCAGUUAAACAUUUUUCACAAAAAAGACUCAGUUUAGUGCGUUGCGUUCAUUUUAUGGUUUUUAUUACUUUUUGAAAAGAAAUAAUAAAAAGAACGCCGGUUAUCCACAUUUCGAGGUAAUCACCAAGAAUACGAAUAACCAGAGAACCGGAGAGCCACAUGACAAACCGAUCCUUUUUCAUUCUAUUUUUAUUAAAAAAAAAGACAACAAUUUUUUAUCACACAAAUAACUUAACAAAAGAGAUAAACUAUUCUAACAUAUUUCACACAAAUAACUUAACAAAAAAAAGAUAAACUAUUCUAGCAUACUAAACCCUAAAAAAAAAUCUAACAUAUUUCCACCUUUUUACACUAAAAGAAAUAAAAAUACGAAAAAUAAAACACUAAAAAAGGAUAAAAAAAAACACAUUUUUUAGGUCAGGGGGUGCGAAAAUGAAAUCUGGGGACUGGGC